CGGAGGGUGCAAGCGUUGUCCGGAUUUAUUGGGUUUAAAGGGUGCGUAGGCGGCCCGUUAAGUCAGUGGUGAAAGCCCAUAGCUCAACUAUGGAACUGCCAUUGAUACUGACGGGCUUGAGUACAGACGAGGUAGGCGGAAUUGAAGAUGUAGCGGUGAAAUGCAUAGAUAUCUUCAAGAACACCGAUUGCGUAGGCAGCUUACUAGGCUGUAACUGACGCUGAGGCACGAAAGCGUGGGGAGCGAACAGGAUUAGAUACCCUGGUAGUCCACGCUGUAAACGAUGAUUACUCGAUGUCGGCGAUAAACUGUCGGCGUCUUAGCGAAAGCGUUAAGUAAUCCACCUGGGGAGUACGCCCGCAAGGGUG
Molecule: ribosomal RNA, 368 nt
Filed under: uncultured organism
Description: bacterial SSU rRNA
Rfam family: Bacterial small subunit ribosomal RNA
Source: RNAcentral